This 326-nucleotide ribosomal RNA is filed under the name Trichomonas vaginalis G3. RNAcentral describes it as "5.8S ribosomal RNA". The stretch from base 56 to 211 matches the Rfam family "5.8S ribosomal RNA". The record is from RNAcentral. Lineage: Eukaryota; Parabasalia; Trichomonadida; Trichomonadidae.
CUUUUAUUAAACAAAAACCAAUACAAAAUUAAAAACUAACUUCAUCAAAAACCAAGUCUCUAAGCAAUGGAUGUCUUGGCUCCUCACACGAUGAAGAACGUGGCAUAAUGUGUUAAGUAACCGGAGUUGCAAACAUCAUGACAGGUUAAUCUUUGAAUGCAAAUUGCGCUAAACUCGAUCUCGGUCGAGAAGCAUGGGUGUGACAGUACUACAUCUUUUAUAAUAAUUCUUAUUCUAAGCGAAUAAGUAAAUAAUAUAUAAGACAAACAACACGUAGUCUGCCAUACGCAGGAAGACCCGCUGAACUGAAGCAUCUCAUUAAGCGG